Molecule: ribosomal RNA, 159 nt
Filed under: Roldana suffulta
Lineage: Eukaryota; Viridiplantae; Streptophyta; Magnoliopsida; Asterales; Asteraceae
Also listed under: 4 other names
Description: 5.8S ribosomal RNA
Rfam family: 5.8S ribosomal RNA
About the family: 5.8S ribosomal RNA (5.8S rRNA) is a component of the large subunit of the eukaryotic ribosome.
Source: RNAcentral
GACUCUCGGCAACGGAUAUCUCGGCUCACGCAUCGAUGAAGAACGUAGCAAAAUGCGAUACUUGGUGUGAAUUGCAGAAUCCCGUGAACCAUCGAGUUUUUGAACGCAAGUUGCGCCCAAAGCCUUUCGGCCAAGGGCACGUCUGCCUGGGCGUCACAC